This 425-nucleotide ribosomal RNA is filed under the name uncultured bacterium. Its description in RNAcentral is "partial 16S ribosomal RNA". It matches the Rfam family "Bacterial small subunit ribosomal RNA", at positions 354 to 796 of the family's 1533-position model. The record is from RNAcentral.
GUGGGGAAUCUUGCGCAAUGGGCGAAAGCCUGACGCAGCCAUGCCGCGUGAAUGAUGAAGGUCUUAGGAUUGUAAAAUUCUUUCACCGGGGACGAUAAUAACGGUACCCGGAGAAGAAGCUCCGGCUAACUUCGUGCCAGCAGCCGCGGUAAUACGAAGGGGGCUAGCGUUGCUCGGAAUUACUGGGCGUAAAGGGCGCGUAGGCGGACAGCUUAGUCAGAGGUGAAAGCCCAGGGCUCAACCUUGGAAUUGCCUUUGAUACUGGCUGUCUUGAGUUUGGGAGAGGUGAGUGGAACUCCGAGUGUAGAGGUGAAAUUCGUAGAUAUUCGGAAGAACACCAGUGGCGAAGGCGACUCACUGGCCCAAUACUGACGCUGAGGCGCGAAAGCGUGGGGAGCAAACAGGAUUAGAUACCCGAGUAGUCC